UACAGAGGUCCCAAGCGUUGUUCGGAUUCACUGGGCGUAAAGGGUGCGCAGGUGGGCUGGUAAGUUCGAUGUGAAAGCCCCGGGCUUAACCCGGGAAAGGCAUUGGAUACUACUGGUCUGGAGGAUUGGAGGGGGGACUGGAAUUCUUGGUGUAGCAGUGAAAUGCGUAGAUAUCAAGAGGAACACCAGUGGCGAAGGCGGCAUCCUGGACCGGCAUUGACGCUGAGGCGCGAAAGCCAGGGGAGCAAACGGG
Molecule: ribosomal RNA, 253 nt
Filed under: uncultured bacterium
Lineage: Bacteria
Description: partial 16S ribosomal RNA
Rfam family: Bacterial small subunit ribosomal RNA
Source: RNAcentral